RNAcentral lists this ribosomal RNA (626 nucleotides) under uncultured bacterium. RNAcentral's name for it is "bacterial SSU rRNA". It matches the Rfam family "Bacterial small subunit ribosomal RNA", at positions 249 to 885 of the family's 1533-position model. The record is from RNAcentral.
UUGGUGAGGUAAUGGCUCACCAAGGCGACGACGGGUAGCCGGCCUGAGAGGGCGACCGGCCACACUGGGACUGAGACACGGCCCAGACUCCUACGGGAGGCAGCAGUGGGGAAUAUUGCACAAUGGGCGAAAGCCUGAUGCAGCGACGCCGCGUGAGGGAUGACGGCCUUCGGGUUGUAAACCUCCUUCAGCAGGGAAGAAGCGAAAGUGACGGUACCUGCAGAAGAAGCGCCGGCUAACUACGUGCCAGCAGCCGCGGUAAUACGUAGGGCGCAAGCGUUGUCCGGAAUUAUUGGGCGUAAAGAGCUCGUAGGCGGCUUGUCACGUCGGGUGUGAAAGCCCGGGGCUUAACCCCGGGUCUGCAUUCGAUACGGGCUAGCUAGAGUGUGGUAGGGGAGAUCGGAAUUCCUGGUGUAGCGGUGAAAUGCGCAGAUAUCAGGAGGAACACCGGUGGCGAAGGCGGAUCUCUGGGCCAUUACUGACGCUGAGGAGCGAAAGCGUGGGGAGCGAACAGGAUUAGAUACCCUGGUAGUCCACGCCGUAAACGGUGGGAACUAGGUGUUGGCGACAUUCCACGUCGUCGGUGCCGCAGCUAACGCAUUAAGUUCCCCGCCUGGGGAGUACGG